This 709-nucleotide ribosomal RNA is filed under the name Calonarius mikedavisii. Its description in RNAcentral is "eukaryotic LSU rRNA". The stretch from base 252 to 405 matches the Rfam family "5.8S ribosomal RNA". The record is from RNAcentral. Lineage: Eukaryota; Fungi; Basidiomycota; Agaricomycetes; Agaricales; Cortinariaceae.
AAGGAUCAUUAUUGAAAUAAACCUGAUAAGUUGCUGCUGGUUCUCUAGGGAGCAUGUGCACACUUGUCAUCUUUGUAUCUUCCCCCUGUGCAUCUUUUGUAGACCUGACUAUCUCUCUGAAUGCUUUAGCACUCAGGAUUGAGGAUUGACUUUCUGUCUCUUCUUACAUUUUCAGGUCUAUGUUUUUUCAUAUACCCUAAUGUAUGUUUAUAGAAUGUAAUCAAUGGGCCUUUGUGCCUAUAAAUCUAUACAACUUUCAGCAACGGAUCUCUUGGCUCUCGCAUCGAUGAAGAACGCAGCGAAAUGCGAUAAGUAAUGUGAAUUGCAGAAUUCAGUGAAUCAUCGAAUCUUUGAACGCACCUUGCGCUCCUUGGUAUUCCGAGGAGCAUGCCUGUUUGAGUGUCAUUAAUAUAUCAACCUUCUCUGGUUGGAUGUGGGUUUGCUGGCCUCUCGAGGUCAGCUCUCCUUAAAUGCAUUAGCGGACAUUUUGCCAACUGUUCAUUGGUGUGAUAAUUAUCUACGCUAUUGACGUGAAGCAAAGUUCAGCUUCUAACGGUCCAUUGACUUGGACAAAUUUAUUUUUAUUAAUGUGACCUCAAAUCAGGUAGGACUACCCGCUGAACUUAAGCAUAUCAAUAAGCGGAGGAAAAGAAACUAACAAGGAUUCCCCUAGUAACUGCGAGUGAAGCGGGAAAAGCUCAAAUUUAAA